Molecule: ribosomal RNA, 313 nt
Filed under: uncultured prokaryote
Description: bacterial SSU rRNA
Rfam family: Bacterial small subunit ribosomal RNA
Source: RNAcentral
AGGAUUAACGCUGGCGGCGUGCCUGACACAUGCAAGUCGAACGAGGCCGCAAGGCCUAGUGGCGGACGGGUGAGUAAUGCGUAGGAAUCUACCCACGAGUGGGGGGAUAGCCCGGAGAAAUCCGGAUUAAUACCGCAUAUGCCCUACGGGGUAAAGCGGGGAGUCGUAAGACCUCGCGCUGGUGGAUGAGCCUACGUCCGAUUAGUUAGUUGGUGGGGUAAAGGCCUACCAAGGCUACGAUCGGUAGCUGGUCUGAGAGGACGACCAGCCACACUGGGACUGAGACACGGCCCAGACUCCUACGGGAGGCAGC